Molecule: ribosomal RNA, 495 nt
Filed under: soil fungal sp. DM2-217
Lineage: Eukaryota; Fungi
Description: eukaryotic LSU rRNA
Rfam family: Eukaryotic large subunit ribosomal RNA
Source: RNAcentral
UCCGAAUUGUAGUUUAUAGAAGCGUUUUCGGUGGCAGCCUGGGUAUAAAUCCUUUGGAAUAGGGUAUCAUAGAGGGUGAGAAUCCCGUCUUUGACUCAGUGCAUGCUACUAUGUGAUACGUUUUCAAAGAGUCGAGUUGUUUGGGAAUGCAGCUCAAAAUGGGUGGUAAAUUUCAUCUAAGGCUAAAUAUUGGCGAGAGACCGAUAGCGAACAAGUACCGUGAGGGAAAGAUGAAAAGAACUUUGAAAAGAGAGUUAAACAGUGCGUGAAAUUGUUGAAAGGGAAACGUUUGACACCAGUUAUGCGGGUGGAAAAUCAGUCUUUUGCAAUGGGGAGUUGUGGGCGUUCANACCGCAAGGCUGGCGUUUGCUUCAUCUCUGUUGUAAGUGAUGCACUUUUUCAUUUGCAGGUCAACAUCAGUUUGCUUUGCUGGACAAAACCCCAAGGGAAGGUGGCAGCUUAGGCUGUGUUAUAGCCCUGGGGCGAUACAGUGGA